GAAUCAUUAGGGGCAAAAGCAUGUAAGAUGGGGUGUGUUGAAAUUUGUAUCUAGAAAAUGCAAUGCAAGUGCUUUUUGGAGCUAGGAUCUAUAUAUAUUUGGAAUCUUUUUCUGUGAAUAGUAAGGAUGGGCAGGGUAAAACUAAAGAUAAAGAGGUUGGAGAACACCAAUGGCCGCCAAGCAACAUAUGCUAAAAGGAAAAAUGGAAUUAUGAAAAAAGCUGCUGAAUUAUCUAUAUUGUGUGACAUAGAUAUCAUACUUCUCAUGUUUGCGCCAAAUGGAAAGCCUUCGGUAUGUAGGGGGAGA
RNAcentral lists this small RNA (306 nucleotides) under Vigna angularis var. angularis. Its description in RNAcentral is "Non-protein coding transcript". Lineage: Eukaryota; Viridiplantae; Streptophyta; Magnoliopsida; Fabales; Fabaceae. The record is from RNAcentral.